GACUCCCCAGCCACAGCCCUUCAGCUUAUCUCUGUGCUGCAGACAACACACCUUGCCGAUGGAGGGGCCCGGUGAGUUUCCAGGCUGCUCGAAAAGUCUGGAGGCUUGGAGAUCAGCUUUGAUGUCUACCAGGCUGACGCUGUGGCCACGUUCCGAAAGAAUAACCC
Phacochoerus africanus (Common warthog) is the source of this 167-nucleotide long non-coding RNA. RefSeq lists it as uncharacterized. The transcript has 3 exons. The record is from RefSeq and is a predicted model, not a curated record. Lineage: Eukaryota; Metazoa; Chordata; Mammalia; Artiodactyla; Suidae.